ACGGAAGGCAGCAGUGAGGAAUAUUGGUCAAUGGGCGGAAGCCUGAACCAGCCAAGUCGCGUGAAGGAUGAAGGUAUUAUGUAUUGUAAACUUCUUUAGCUGUGGAGCAAUAAUCUCCAUGUAUGGAGAGAUGAGAGUACACAGAGAAUAAGGAUCGGCUAACUCCGUGCCAGCAGCCGCGGUAAUACGGAGGAUCCGAGCGUUAUCCGGAUUUAUUGGGUUUAAAGGGUGCGCAGGCGGCUUUCUAAGUCAGUGGUCAAAUCGUGGUGCUCAACGCCAUCCCGCCAUUGAUACUGGAGAGCUUGAUUGCGGUCGAGGUUUGCGGAAUUCGUCGUGUAGCGGUGAAAUGCAUAGAUAUGACGAAGAACACCGAUUGCGUAGGCAGCUGACCAAGCCGUAAAUGACGCUCAUGCACGAAAGUGCGGGGAUCGAACAGGAUUAGAUACCCUGGUA
This 453-nucleotide ribosomal RNA is filed under the name uncultured Porphyromonadaceae bacterium. Its description in RNAcentral is "partial 16S ribosomal RNA". It matches the Rfam family "Bacterial small subunit ribosomal RNA", at positions 341 to 792 of the family's 1533-position model. The record is from RNAcentral. Lineage: Bacteria; Pseudomonadati; Bacteroidota; Bacteroidia; Bacteroidales; Porphyromonadaceae.